RNAcentral lists this ribosomal RNA (2757 nucleotides) under Shigella boydii. Its description in RNAcentral is "partial 23S ribosomal RNA". It matches the Rfam family "Bacterial large subunit ribosomal RNA". Lineage: Bacteria; Pseudomonadati; Pseudomonadota; Gammaproteobacteria; Enterobacterales; Enterobacteriaceae. RNAcentral also lists the same sequence under 1 other name. The record is from RNAcentral.
AUAGGUUAAUGAGGCGAACCGGGGGAACUGAAACAUCUAAGUACCCCGAGGAAAAGAAAUCAACCGAGAUUCCCCCAGUAGCGGCGAGCGAACGGGGAGCAGCCCAGAGCCUGAAUCAGUGUGUGUGUUAGUGGAAGCGUCUGGAAAGGCGUGCGAUACAGGGUGACAGCCCCGUACACAAAAAUGCACAUAUUGUGAGCUCGAUGAGUAGGGCGGGACACGUGGUAUCCUGUCUGAAUAUGGGGGGACCAUCCUCCAAGGCUAAAUACUCCUGACUGACCGAUAGUGAACCAGUACCGUGAGGGAAAGGCGAAAAGAACCCCGGCGAGGGGAGUGAAAAAGAACCUGAAACCGUGUACGUACAAGCAGUGGGAGCACGCUUAGGCGUGUGACUGCGUACCUUUUGUAUAAUGGGUCAGCGACUUAUAUUCUGUAGCAAGGUUAACCGAAUAGGGGAGCCGAAGGGAAACCGAGUCUUAACUGGGCGUUAAGUUGCAGGGUAUAGACCCGAAACCCGGUGAUCUAGCCAUGGGCAGGUUGAAGGUUGGGUAACACUAACUGGAGGACCGAACCGACUAAUGUUGAAAAAUUAGCGGAUGACUUGUGGCUGGGGGUGAAAGGCCAAUCAAACCGGGAGAUAGCUGGUUCUCCCCGAAAGCUAUUUAGGUAGCGCCUCGUGAAUUCAUCUCCGGGGGUAGAGCACUGUUUCGGCAAGGGGGUCAUCCCGACUUACCAACCCGAUGCAAACUGCGAAUACCGGAGAAUGUUAUCACGGGAGACACACGGCGGGUGCUAACGUCCGUCGUGAAGAGGGAAACAACCCAGACCGCCAGCUAAGGUCCCAAAGUCAUGGUUAAGUGGGAAACGAUGUGGGAAGGCCCAGACAGCCAGGAUGUUGGCUUAGAAGCAGCCAUCAUUUAAAGAAAGCGUAAUAGCUCACUGGUCGAGUCGGCCUGCGCGGAAGAUGUAACGGGGCUAAACCAUGCACCGAAGCUGCGGCAGCGACACUAUGUGUUGUUGGGUAGGGGAGCGUUCUGUAAGCCUGUGAAGGUGUACUGUGAGGUAUGCUGGAGGUAUCAGAAGUGCGAAUGCUGACAUAAGUAACGAUAAAGCGGGUGAAAAGCCCGCUCGCCGGAAGACCAAGGGUUCCUGUCCAACGUUAAUCGGGGCAGGGUGAGUCGACCCCUAAGGCGAGGCCGAAAGGCGUAGUCGAUGGGAAACAGGUUAAUAUUCCUGUACUUGGUGUUACUGCGAAGGGGGGACGGAGAAGGCUAUGUUGGCCGGGCGACGGUUGUCCCGGUUUAAGCGUGUAGGCUGGUUUUCCAGGCAAAUCCGGAAAACUAAGGCUGAGGCGUGAUGACGAGGCACUACGGUGCUGAAGCAACAAAUGCCCUGCUUCCAGGAAAAGCCUCUAAGCAUCAGGUAACAUCAAAUCGUACCCCAAACCGACACAGGUGGUCAGGUAGAGAAUACCAAGGCGCUUGAGAGAACUCGGGUGAAGGAACUAGGCAAAAUGGUGCCGUAACUUCGGGAGAAGGCACGCUGAUAUGUAGGUGAAGUCCCUCGCGGAUGGAGCUGAAAUCAGUCGAAGAUACCAGCUGGCUGCAACUGUUUAUUAAAAACACAGCACUGUGCAAACACGAAAGUGGACGUAUACGGUGUGACGCCUGCCCGGUGCCGGAAGGUUAAUUGAUGGGGUCAGCGCAAGCGAAGCUCUUGAUCGAAGCCCCGGUAAACGGCGGCCGUAACUAUAACGGUCCUAAGGUAGCGAAAUUCCUUGUCGGGUAAGUUCCGACCUGCACGAAUGGCGUAAUGAUGGCCAGGCUGUCUCCACCCGAGACUCAGUGAAAUUGAACUCGCUGUGAAGAUGCAGUGUACCCGCGGCAAGACGGAAAGACCCCGUGAACCUUUACUAUAGCUUGACACUGAACAUUGAGCCUUGAUGUGUAGGAUAGGUGGGAGGCUUUGAAGUGUGGACGCCAGUCUGCAUGGAGCCGACCUUGAAAUACCACCCUUUAAUGUUUGAUGUUCUAACGUUGACCCGUAAUCCGGGUUGCGGACAGUGUCUGGUGGGUAGUUUGACUGGGGCGGUCUCCUCCUAAAGAGUAACGGAGGAGCACGAAGGUUGGCUAAUCCUGGUCGGACAUCAGGAGGUUAGUGCAAUGGCAUAAGCCAGCUUGACUGCGAGCGUGACGGCGCGAGCAGGUGCGAAAGCAGGUCAUAGUGAUCCGGUGGUUCUGAAUGGAAGGGCCAUCGCUCAACGGAUAAAAGGUACUCCGGGGAUAACAGGCUGAUACCGCCCAAGAGUUCAUAUCGACGGCGGUGUUUGGCACCUCGAUGUCGGCUCAUCACAUCCUGGGGCUGAAGUAGGUCCCAAGGGUAUGGCUGUUCGCCAUUUAAAGUGGUACGCGAGCUGGGUUUAGAACGUCGUGAGACAGUUCGGUCCCUAUCUGCCGUGGGCGCUGGAGAACUGAGGGGGGCUGCUCCUAGUACGAGAGGACCGGAGUGGACGCAUCACUGGUGUUCGGGUUGUCAUGCCAAUGGCACUGCCCGGUAGCUAAAUGCGGAAGAGAUAAGUGCUGAAAGCAUCUAAGCACGAAACUUGCCCCGAGAUGAGUUCUCCCUGACUCCUUGAGAGUCCUGAAGGAACGUUGAAGACGACGACGUUGAUAGGCCGGGUGUGUAAGCGCAGCGAUGCGUUGAGCUAACCGGUACUAAUGAACCGUGAGGCUUAACCUUACAACGCCGAAGGUGUUU